UGGGGAAUUUUGGACAAUGGGCGAAAGCCUGAUCCAGCAAUGCCGCGUGUGUGAAGAAGGCCUUCGGGUUGUAAAGCACUUUUGUCCGGAAAGAAAUCCUUGGCUCUAAUACAGUCGGGGGAUGACGGUACCGGAAGAAUAAGCACCGGCUAACUACGUGCCAGCAGCCGCGGUAAUACGUAGGGUGCAAGCGUUAAUCGGAAUUACUGGGCGUAAAGCGUGCGCAGGCGGUUUGCUAAGACCGAUGUGAAAUCCCCGGGCUCAACCUGGGAACUGCAUUGGUGGCUGGCAGGCUAGAGUAUGGCAGAGGGGGGCUAGAAUUCCACGUUAGCAGUGAAAUGCGUAGNGAUGUGGAGGAAUACCGAUGGCGAAGGCAGCCCCUGGGCCAAUACUGACGCUCAUGCACGAAAGCGUGGGGAGCAAACAGGAUUAGAUACCCUGGUAGUCCACGCCCUAAACGAUGUCAACUAGUUGUUGGGGAUUCAUUUCCUUAGUAACGUAGCUAACGCGUGAAGUUGACCGCCUGGGGAGUAACCGG
This 538-nucleotide ribosomal RNA is filed under the name uncultured bacterium. Its description in RNAcentral is "partial 16S ribosomal RNA". It matches the Rfam family "Bacterial small subunit ribosomal RNA", at positions 355 to 887 of the family's 1533-position model. The record is from RNAcentral.